Molecule: long non-coding RNA, 1901 nt
Organism: Mandrillus leucophaeus (drill)
Lineage: Eukaryota; Metazoa; Chordata; Mammalia; Primates; Cercopithecidae
Exons: 3
Source: RefSeq, a predicted model, not a curated record
GGGUUUUGAAGAAUGAACAGAAGCUCUGUGUUAAAUGAAGAAGAAACAGGAGUCCCUCCAAGCACAGGAACCACUCAUGUCAAGAUAUGGGGCAAAAAGAGAGGACGUAUUUGGAGACUAGAGAGUAACCGAAGGCUAUCAUUCAAUCGGUGAUAGUCUUCAUGCAGGUUAAUAUCAAAGGCAACCUGAAUUUCCUCAGACUUCAUGAACUGGCGGUGAAGGGUGAGAUCACACAAGCAGUAAUAACCCAGCUCUCCCUGGCUCACUGCCUUAAAUACUGGACUUCUGGUCCCCAGCAAAGCUGUCCCCAUGAAUUUGGGAGUCUCCAUUCCUGUCCUUCCACUCCCCUCAAACGUCCUUGCAUUCAAGGUCACAUGGUAACUUGACUCUUCUCACCACUACUUCUGUGGGAAUGCGGGGACCAGGCCAGAGCUGUGGGUGCUGCCCUCCCCAGAGACUUCACUAUGCCCAGGGAGGACUGACUGGAGGAGGGGACCAGGCAUCUCCCCUGCACUCUGGGCCCACAGCAACCCUGUAUACCAGUCCGUAUUAACCUUACCACUCCUUCCUCCAAAGGGCUGAGACCUCAACCAUGGGACCUGGGUGGUGAUCACCACAAAACUUCUUCCUGAAAGUUCUUCUCCAACAACUUUUCACAUUCAGUUAUUCAUUCAACAAACAUUGAGCAACAACCUAAUAUUCUGGGCUCUGGAGACCGAGUUCAAAAGAAGACAGCAGGCCUCUGCCCCCACUUCCUGACAGGUCACUGCAUCUUGAGUGCUAAGACUGUCAUCACAGAGUGAGGAGGGGAACUGAGCUCAGAGGGGUAGAACCUCCUGAAAGGGCAGAACAGCUCAUGCAUCCUGCCAAGGUCAGAAGGUGCCGGAUCCAGGGCAAAAAUGAAGACAUAUGGGACCUUAGGUGACAAGGAAGAAGCUCCCAGGCAGCAUGUGGGAUGGACCCAAGGAGAACGUCAGAGAGAAAGGUUCAGUCUGGUGUCUCCUAAAGCAGGUUAAAAUUAAGCUCGGCAGGCUCGAUGUAAAUGUGCAGACAAAGCAAAGCAGGAAGCCUCCCACACUAAAAAGGGAAGAUAAGAAUCACAGAAGCCGGGAUGGUUUUUAUUGAAGGGCACUUCAAAGCAAAUACAGACAUCUACAGCAUAUCUGUAAAUCCUCCGUAUGUGUAUGGAAACACACACCUUCACACAUCAAAACUGGAUUUGUUCCUGAGUAAUAAAACGUCCUAAGAACAAAACGAAAGCAAACUGAAUAGCAGAAAAAUACUUCCAUCGUAUACCACACAGGAUUAUUUAUUAACCUCAACACACCAAGAGUUAAGAAAAUAAUGCAACAGGAACAAAGGGCAAUGGAUACGUACCGGGAAGACCACAGAGAAAGAAAAUGCAAAAAUGGCUAAUAAUAUAAAAUAUUUCCUAGGUUCUAUAGUAACCAGGGAAAGACAAAAUUACACUUUUGACCUCUUAGACUGGCAGUGACAAAGGUUAUUUGAGUGACCAAACUUUAGUCAGGCUCCUGGAUCUUCUAGGCCCAUCUGGGCACUUCCUCAUAAAAUACAGUUUUAGCAAACGCCCUGCUAAAUUGGUUUACCAAGAACUCCUACCCUCAGUGGAGUUCCUUAUCUCUUCACCUUUCCUCAGGUGAGGCCUGAUCAUCCUGGCCUAUCUUCAGCAAGAGGGCCCUAACCGUGACGUUUCCUCUUAGUAAAUUUCCAUCCACUGACACUCACUUAUAAUUUAUAGCCAGGAGCAAGCUCCUUGGCUUUAAAUUAUUUUCCCUGUUAUAUUCAGAGUUGAGCCCAAUCCCUCUCUCCGACUACAAAAUCUGAUAGCAGUAGUCCCUAUACCUAUUGCAAUGGUCCCAAAUAAAACCUGCCUUACUGUG